UACGGGGGGAGCAAGCGUUGUUCGGAUUUACUGGGCGUAAAGGGCGCGUAGGCGGCCAGUGCAAGUCAGUUGUGAAAUCUCCGAGCUUAACUCGGAAAGGUCAACUGAUACUGCUCGGCUAGAGUGCGGAAGGGGCAACUGGAAUUCUCGGUGUAGCGGUGAAAUGCGUAGAUAUCGAGAGGAACACCGAUGGCGAAGGCAGGUCUCUGGGCCGAUACUGACGCUGAGGAGCGAAAGCGUGGGGAGCGAACAGG
RNAcentral lists this ribosomal RNA (254 nucleotides) under uncultured bacterium. RNAcentral's name for it is "partial 16S ribosomal RNA". It matches the Rfam family "Bacterial small subunit ribosomal RNA", at positions 524 to 776 of the family's 1533-position model. The record is from RNAcentral.